ACAGGUGCUGCAUGGCUGUCAGUCAGCUCGUGUCGUGAGAUGUGGGUUAAGUCCCGCAACGAGCGCAACCCUUGUCAUUAGUUGCUACAUUCAGUUGGGGCACUCUAAUGAGACUGCCGGUGACAAACCGGAGGAAGGUGGGGAUGACGUCAAGUCCUCAUGGCCCUUAUAGGUGGGGCUACACACGUCAUACAGUGGAUGGUACAAAGGGUCGCCAACCCGCGAGGGGGAGCCAAUCCCAUAAAGCCAUUCGUAGUCCGGAUCGCAGUCUGCAACUCGACUGCGUGAAGUCGGAAUCGCUAGUAAUCGUGGAUCAGAAUGUCACGGUGAAUACGUUCCCGGGUCUU
RNAcentral lists this ribosomal RNA (347 nucleotides) under uncultured Polaromonas sp. RNAcentral describes it as "bacterial SSU rRNA". It matches the Rfam family "Bacterial small subunit ribosomal RNA", at positions 1034 to 1382 of the family's 1533-position model. The record is from RNAcentral. Lineage: Bacteria; Pseudomonadati; Pseudomonadota; Betaproteobacteria; Burkholderiales; Comamonadaceae.